Molecule: transfer RNA, 77 nt
Filed under: Candidatus Nomurabacteria bacterium
Lineage: Bacteria; Candidatus Nomuraibacteriota
Description: tRNA-His
Rfam family: tRNA
About the family: Transfer RNA (tRNA) molecules are approximately 80 nucleotides in length. Their secondary structure includes four short double-helical elements and three loops (D, anti-codon, and T loops).
Source: RNAcentral
GUGGCUAUAGCUCAGUUGGUUAGAGCGCCAGUUUGUGGUACUGGAAGUCGCAGGUUCAAUUCCUGUUAGCCACCCCA